This is a non-coding RNA of Poecilia reticulata (guppy), 2746 nucleotides long. The record is from RefSeq and is a predicted model, not a curated record. Lineage: Eukaryota; Metazoa; Chordata; Actinopteri; Cyprinodontiformes; Poeciliidae.
GCUGGUCCGGGUGGCGGUGUAGCCGUCUGCGGAGGGCCCUGGCCGGGCCGAAGCGUGUCUCUGCGGCGCCCCUCCGCCCCCUGGCCGCCACUGCGAUGAGGACGCUUUUUACUCUCUGUUUGCUCUUGAUCGGCGGACCGAACCGGACCUGGGCCAUCGGGAACCUGACCGUGGACAGCAGCACCGACACCAGCCGGUCGAAUUAUACCGGCUACAUCUCCAUCGGGGACGGAUCGGCGCAGGAAUUUGAGUUUCCGGAAAACACUGAAGGAGUGAUCGUGAUCUCCAGUCGGUACCGGGGCUCCAGCCGGAAUCAGACGGUUAGGGUUCGGUCUCUGGACCCGGAGGUCCUCUCCGUGUUGAAUGUGACGGCCGGCGGCCGGGAAGGACCAGCUGGCAGCUUCAUCAUCAGCAUCCGUUCCGGGUUUCCGGGCCGGGCGCCGCUGCAGAUCCAGCUGUUGGACCGGGACCGGGACUCGGUUCCGGUUCUGAUCGAGGAGAGGACGGAAUAUUUCAUCAGAGUGGAGCCCAGCGAGGGCGACGAGGCCACCCGGUUGCUGCAGUCCGGGGGCCUGUCCCACUUCACGGAGAACCCGGUGCUGUUCGCCUUGCUGCCCCUCAUCUUCGUCAACAAGUGUGCCUUCGGCUGCAAGGUGGAGGUGGAGGUGCUGCGGGCUCUGCUGCGCCGCCCGAUGGCGCUGCUGCUGGGGGUGCUGGCCCAGUUCCUGGUCAUGCCGCUGUACGCCUACUGCGCGUCCCGGCUGCUGUCGCUGCCCACCGCGCUGUCCCUCGGCCUGGUCAUCACCUGCUCCGCCCCGGGGGGCGGCGGCGGCUACCUUUACAGCCUGCUGCUGGGGGGCGACGUCACACUGGCCAUCUCCAUGACGCUGGUGUCCACGGUGGUGGCCACGGCGGCCAUGCCUCUUUCCUCGGCUCUGUACGGCAGGCUGCUGGGCGUACACGCCGCCCUCCACGUCCCCUUCGUGAAGAUCUUGGGCACCCUGCUCUUCAUCGCCAUCCCCAUCUCCCUGGGCAUGCUGAUCAAGCUGCGACUCCCGGCCCUCACCCGCGUCCUGCUGGUGCUCAUCCGGCCCUUCAGCGUCGUGCUGAUGGUCGGUGGCAUCUUCAUGGCCUACCAGAUGGGGUCGUCCAUCCUGGCCAACGUGCAGCCCCAGAUCGUGGCGGUCGGGGUGACGGUGCCUUUGCUGGGCCUCCUGGUCGGCGCGGGCCUGGCCAGAACCGCCGGCUUGGCUCUGCCGCAGAGGAAAACCGUGAGCAUCGAGGUGGGCGUACAGAACAGCCUGCUGGCCCUGGCCGUCAUGCAGCUGUCCUUCCGGCGGGUGGAGGCGGACUUUGCGUCGCAGGCGCCCUUCAUCGUGGCGCUCAGCAGCACCUCGGAGAUGCUCCUUAUCGUCCUGGGCUCCUUCAUCUGGCGGAGGCUCUGCUGUCCUCAGGAGUGACGGCUGAUUGUAGCUGCAGAAUGGACCUUUGGAAACCCGUGGACAUCCGUCUGCCCUGUGGCGGCUCGGUUCCGGUCCACUCAUCACUGUUGUACAGCGGACUGAUCUUUUCUGCUUCUUUUAAUGUCGUUUUUGGUAUUUUUUCAUGGAAACCAAAGGCCUUUUACCCCUGAGAGUUUUGUGUGUUGCUCCUUUUUCAGAUCAGAUUCUACUGUGAGCUUCUUCAUGCUGAUAUUCCUCUGAAGACAGAACUUAUUUUUCUACAAGACGGAUUUUUGUAUUUCUAAAAUCAGACUGAAAAUGUAUCAUGUUUACAAGUGAUCUACGUGUCUUAGCCUGUGAGGGGAACAUGGCUGCUUCAAGAGGAACAUGAUGAUGUGAUUAUUUCCUUCAGAAGGGUGCAUUCAUCACCAAGAUGCGGUUUUUCUGCUGGUGGUGAAACUUUCAACAGCUCAGCAUGAAUCAUCACCAGUUGCUUCUUUAAACUCGGCUUGUUACAACAAGCUGCAAACGGGGUGCAGAGCUAGCCACGCUAAAGUAUUCACAGUCCUGAACUUUGUCAUGCUCUGACCAUAAACGCUGAUUGUUCUCAGGAUUUUCUGCGACAGAUCUGAAAAAGGUUUGUAACUUGUUUUACAAAUAAAAAUCUGGGUUUGUAUUAAUUCCCCUUACCACACCCAUAAAUAAAAUGAGCUCCAAUCAGUCAGAGAUUUUCAGGGCUGAAAGCCGAAAAUUGUCAAAUUAUCAUUUUCAAAUAAAUUAUUUUUGUGCCUUUAAGUUUUUCCUCUGAAAAGUGUUGUGUGUAAAAACGUGAAGUGAACUGGUGCGACAUUCCUGAAACGUGGAGCUGUUGAAUAAAAAGGAAAGCUAAUGAGGAAAUGUGAGUUUACUAACUUGUUGCAACAUGGGACAAGGUCCAGGUUUUAUCUGAACAGUUUCACAGGGUCAAAGUUCAUCAGUUUCACAGCAACAAAGAAAGUCUUGAUCUGUAGGCUGAAGCUAAACACACUUCCAUGGUGGGAAACAGAAAUGUUUGCCCCUGUUUGGCUGCUUGAGCUCUCAGGAAUGUUGCGCAGCUGUAAAUCGUCCAAACAGCAGAAGCUUUAAAAUGGCUGUUAGGGGAAGUCCAGCCCUCUGAGCUGCCAGCAGAAACAGGAAGAAGAUCAUGUGAGUCAUCCUCCUCUGCUGUGUGCAGGGUGAUAAACAUGAACAGUGGAGCCAUGUGUGACAUACAGCAGCAUCGUUACAGUACAUAAAUCUGCCUCUUUUUAAACGUCAUUUGUUUU